GACGAACGCUGGCGGCGUGCUUAACACAUGCAAGUCGAACGAAGAGCGAUGGAAGCUUGCUUCUAUCAAUCUUAGUGGCGAACGGGUGAGUAACGCGUAAUCAACCUGCCCUUCAGAGGGGGACAACAGUUGGAAACGACUGCUAAUACCGCAUACGAUCUAAUCUCGGCAUCGAGGAUAGAUGAAAGGUGGCCUCUACAUGUAAGUUAUCACUGAAGGAGGGGAUUGCGUCUGAUUAGCUAGUUGGAGGGGUAACGGCCCACCAAGGCGAUGAUCAGUAGCCGGUCUGAGAGGAUGAACGGCCACAUUGGGACUGAGACACGGCCCAGACUCCUACGGGAGGCAGCAGUGGGGAAUCUUCCGCAAUGGACGAAAGUCUGACGGAGCAACGCCGCGUGAGUGAUGACGGCCUUCGGGUUGUAAAGCUCUGUUAAUCGGGACGAAAGGCCUUCUUGCGAAUAGUGAGAAGGAUUGACGGUACCGGAAUAGAAAGCC
Molecule: ribosomal RNA, 495 nt
Filed under: Veillonella parvula
Lineage: Bacteria; Bacillati; Bacillota; Negativicutes; Veillonellales; Veillonellaceae
Description: bacterial SSU rRNA
Rfam family: Bacterial small subunit ribosomal RNA
Source: RNAcentral